RNAcentral lists this transfer RNA (68 nucleotides) under Gemmatimonadota bacterium. RNAcentral describes it as "Gemmatimonadetes bacterium (marine metagenome) tRNA-Sec". Lineage: Bacteria; Pseudomonadati; Gemmatimonadota. The record is from RNAcentral.
GGGCAUGCUCCUAGAGCAUCUGACUUCAGAUCAGGUGGUCGUAGGUUCGAUCUCUGUACGGCCCACCA